Molecule: microRNA precursor, 102 nt
Filed under: Tribolium castaneum (red flour beetle)
Lineage: Eukaryota; Metazoa; Arthropoda; Insecta; Coleoptera; Tenebrionidae
Description: microRNA tca-mir-2944b precursor
Rfam family: mir-2944 microRNA precursor family (bases 11-94)
Source: miRBase by way of RNAcentral
ACUUCAUUUCGCAUAAUGCAUUUAAGGAACUACAGGUGUGAUGUGUGAUUUCAUUAAACGUAUCACAGCCGUAGUUGCCUUACUGUAUUUGUGAAAUCUCAA